Molecule: ribosomal RNA, 492 nt
Filed under: uncultured bacterium
Lineage: Bacteria
Description: partial 16S ribosomal RNA
Rfam family: Bacterial small subunit ribosomal RNA
Source: RNAcentral
AGUGAACGCUGGCGGUAUGCCUAACACAUGCAAGUCGAACGGCAACACAGUAAGAUCUUUCUCUUACCGGUGGCGAGUGGCGGACGAGUGACGAGUACAUCGGAAUCUACUUUUUCUUGGGGGAUAACGUAGGUACACUUACUCUAAUACAUCAUACCAUCUACCGCUGAAAGCAGUGGAUCUUCGCACCUUGCGCGAUUGCAUGCGCCGAUUCCGGAUUAGCUAGUUUGAGUGGUAAAGGCCCACCAAGGCAACGAUCCGUAGCUUGUCUGAGAGGAUGAUCAGCCACACUGGAACUGAGACACGGUCCAGACUCCUACGGGAGGCAGCAGUGGGGAAUAUUGGACAAUGGGCGGAAGCCUGAUCCAGCCACACCGCGUGAGUGAAGAAGGCCUUCGGGUUGUAAAGCCCUGUUAUUGGGAAAGAAAAGAAGCAGGUUAAUACCCCGCUGUUCUGACGGUACCCAAAGAAAAAGCAACGGCUAACUUCGUG